This 252-nucleotide ribosomal RNA is filed under the name uncultured bacterium. RNAcentral's name for it is "partial 16S ribosomal RNA". It matches the Rfam family "Bacterial small subunit ribosomal RNA", at positions 524 to 776 of the family's 1533-position model. The record is from RNAcentral.
UACAGGGGGUGCAAACGUUGCUCGGAAUUAUUGGGCGUAAAGCGCGCGUAGGCGGUUGCUUAUGUCGGAUGUGAAAGCCCUCGGCUUAACUGAGGAAGUGCAUCCGAAACUGGGCAGCUAGAGUACGAAAGAGGGUCGCGGAAUUCCCGGUGUAGAGGUGAAAUUCGUAGAUAUCGGGAGGACACCGGUGGCGAAGGCGGCGACCUGGGUCGAGACUGACGCUGAGGCGCGAAAGCGUGGGGAGCAAACAGG